CGCCCACGGAGUCCCCUUCGAGCCCACGUGACGUCUCCCGCGCUCCUUUCCCUUGAUCCGCCUGUCCGCUUUCGCGUUCUAGUGGGCGGCGGCUCAGUGAGCACCUGUCCUGCAAGGCACUCUCAAAACGGUCCAGAUCAUUAAAACGCGCUGGUUUUUGUAGAUGUCAGAGAAAGCCAGCAGGGAGGGAGAUCACUUAUAAGCAGCUAGUCUGAAGGGCUGAAUAGAGCCUCCACGUGCAAGAACAGUAUACCUGACACCGAGGACAAACCGGGAAAUUGCUUGUUCAAAGAGUCUCCUGAAUCAGGCCAUCGUGUUUUCGCAGUGGUCUACCACAUGAGAAGCCCACAAGAAGGAGCUGGGUGUAUCAGUGCUCCCCGUCAGGCUUACCAUUUUCGCAAGUUUGGCCAUUUGCAGCCAGUGGGAUCCUAACUUGGAGGAAGACGAUCUUACAGCACCUGGAGAUGAGACAUUAUCCUCUAAGAGGAUAUGGAAACUGUGCAGCUCCUGUUUACUUUCCACCAGGCACCCCUCCUCUUUCCCCUAAUUCUUCGCAAAGUUAAAACUCCUGGAUCUGGUUGCAAGUGUUUAGUUUUGCGGUUUAGGGCUGGUUUCUUAGGAGCA
This is a long non-coding RNA of Lacerta agilis (Sand lizard), 624 nucleotides long. RefSeq lists it as uncharacterized. The record is from RefSeq and is a predicted model, not a curated record. Lineage: Eukaryota; Metazoa; Chordata; Lepidosauria; Squamata; Lacertidae. The transcript is spliced from 3 exons.